This 422-nucleotide ribosomal RNA is filed under the name uncultured bacterium. RNAcentral's name for it is "bacterial SSU rRNA". It matches the Rfam family "Bacterial small subunit ribosomal RNA", at positions 358 to 772 of the family's 1533-position model. The record is from RNAcentral.
GGAAUAUUGGACAAUGGGCGAAAGCCUGAUCCAGCCAUGCCGCGUGUGUGAAGAAGGCCUUCGGGUUGUAAAGCACUUUUGUUGGGGAAGAAAAGCACUGGGUUAAUACCCCGGUGUCAUGACGGUACCCAAAGAAUAAGCCCCGGCUAACUUCGUGCCAGCAGCCGCGGUAAUACGAAGGGUGCAAGCGUUACUCGGAAUUACUGGGCGUAAAGCGUGCGUAGGUGGUUUGUUAAGUCUGAUGUGAAAGCCCUGGGCUCAACCUGGGAAUUGCAUUGGAUACUGGCAGUCUAGAGUGCGGUAGAGGGUAGCGGAAUUCCCGGUGUAGCAGUGAAAUGCGUAGAUAUCGGGAGGAACAUCAGUGGCGAAGGCGGCCCUCUGGUCCAGUACUGACACUCAAGUGCGAAAGCGUGGGGAGCAAA